Molecule: unclassified non-coding RNA, 240 nt
Filed under: soil metagenome
Description: partial contains 5.8S ribosomal RNA, internal transcribed spacer 2, and large subunit ribosomal RNA
Source: RNAcentral
AAGACUAUAGACCUGCGGAGUACCUGCGGAAGGAUCAUUAUUGAAUUAUGUUUCUAAAUGGGUUGUAGCUGGCUCGUCAGAGCAUGUUCACGCCUGUUUGGACUUCAUUUUCAUCCACCUGUGCACCUAUUGUAGUCUUUGGUUGGGUAUCAAGGAAGUGGUCAGCCUAUCAGCACUUGCUGGAUGUGAGGACUUGCAGUGUGAAAGCUUUGCUGUCCUUUACUUGAUCAUGGAGUUGUU